GGCAGGGGCAGAGGAGCGGGCGGAGGGGGAGGUGGAGGCAUCUGCAGCUGGACAGAGAAGUGGUGCUUUGUUUCUCUGUGCCUCAGUUUCCCUCUUGGUAAAAUAGGCAUGGUUCCUCCUAUGGAUGUAAGAAGGACCUAGGAACCUUUGCAAGGGCAGAGGAGUCCGCCCCUCUGGUCUGACUGGGAGACAAGGUGUUCCCCAAUCUGAUGGUGGGGACAAGGUGGCCCAACACAGUGGGAAAAAUAAGGAAACUAAGGAGCUCUCACCAAAUCCCAUGAGGGAGACAGGACUGUCCAAAUCCAAUGAAGAAGAUAAGAAGCUCCAGUCCUGUGCAGCAAGAACGAGUGUCCAGUCUAUAUUUCCAGUCUGCCAGGGGAGGUGCUGUUCUAGGCGCUGAGGAUGCAGCCGUGCACAAGACGGAUGAAAUCCCUGCCCUCAGGGGGCCGACAUUUGCGGAGUAAAUAAAGGAAAGGCCAACAUGAACAGCUGAUUUGGAUACCAUCAAGACACCUGAAAUUUUAGCAUGAGCCAGAUGCCAAGGAAGAGACUCCGGGAGGAUCCUGAGGACCCCCCGGUUGCAGCCAUGUCGAGGCUGAUGCUGAGGAGGACCCCAACUGUCACGAGAAACACCCGUCGAACACAGCCACCCAGCUGGAGACAGAUCAAGAAGCUGUCACAGAUGAUGGAAGAAAACCUGAGGAAAGCGGGACAACCACUCAGAAUGAGUAAUGGUAGCUAUGAUAGUGGUAAUCACCAUUGCCGUGAGUAUUCCUUAAAGAAGGGCUGACACAGAGAACAAUUAUACUUAUUAGGCAUAUUCAUCAAUCUUGGCUGGCAAUAAUGCCUGGAUGUAAUCACUCUAUGACACAGUUACAUGUGCUUUCUGAUCUCAGUAUUUACCAUAACAAAUCUCCUCCUAUAAUUGAGGCAUACUGCCCUCAAAAACCUAUCUGUAACAAAAUUGAACCUGGCCAGAAAAAAUGAACAUACUUGUUUAGGAAGAUUGCAUUGCAGAACAGGCAGAGGUGCUGCACAACGAUUCCUAUGGAAUCAUUAUUAAUUGGUCCCCUAAAGGGAUGUUUAGCUUAAAUUGCACCAACAGGCCCCCCCGCAAAACCUGGCCAUAAACUGGCCCCGAAACUGACCAUGAACAAUAUCUCUGUGGCACUGUGACAUGUUCAUGAUGGCCAUGACGCCCACGCUGGAAGGUUGUGGGUUUACUGGAAUGAGGGCAAGGAACACCUUGCCCACCCAGGGCGGAAAACCACUUAAAGGCGUUUUUAAACCACAAACAACCGCAUGAGUGAUCUGUGCCUUAAGGACAUGCUCCUGCUGCAGAUAAGUAGCCAUACCCAUGCCUUUAUUUCAGCCCAUCCCUUUGCUUCCCAUAAGGGAUACUUUUAGUUAAUCUAAAAUCUAUAGAAACAAUGCUAAUGUUAAUAAAUACGUGGGUAAAUCUCUGUUUGAGGCUCUCAGCUCUGAAGGCUGUGAGACCCCUGAUUUCCCACUUCACACUUCU
This 1522-nucleotide long non-coding RNA is filed under the name Homo sapiens (human). RNAcentral describes it as "CEACAM16, CEACAM19 and PVR antisense RNA 1 (CEACAM16-AS1)". Lineage: Eukaryota; Metazoa; Chordata; Mammalia; Primates; Hominidae. The record is from RNAcentral.